AUGGAUAACGUACCCAUCGAAGACUCCUUGGAAUCGCUCCGGAUCGACUCCCCGCCGCCGGCGCGUGAUGCGUCGGCGCCGGCGCUCGACGAGCCCAUGGUCCCCCCGUUCCAGGUGCAGGGAAGACCGCGGCACCAACCCGUCGCCGCUCGCACGGGACCCUGGCCCGUAGCUCUUCCGUCCGCUUUCAUGGCGCCAGCCGCCCACGACGGCCACGGUGGUGACAGCAGUCACGAUGCCCAUGUCGUCGUCGGUCAGGGCCAGUCCAGAUACGGCGAUUCGGCGGCGUGGCAGCAAAUCCGGUGGGAGCCGAAGACGAUGACGUGCCGCCAGUGCCACACGACGGACACGCCGCAGUGGCGGACCGGGCCGGACGGGCCGGGCACGCUGUGCAACGCGUUCAUCAAACUUAGAAACCAUACAAUUCGCCCUUCUAUCUACAUCUCCGUAUUCGGCAGGUCUGGAUGGACCUCGUGCAGAUACUCAUCUUUGAUGGGGUCGACAUGCUAUGACGGUCCAUAUGUAAAAAAAAUUGGACCGUGGCCUCCUCGUGAUGUAAACUACAACACCUCGCGGUGCAAAUUUACAUCACGAGGUGCAUCUGGUCCAAAACUAGCCGCCGCCCGCAAACGCCCGACCGCCACUUCAUUUCCUUUCCCGCCCGCCUGCGCCCGUCUGCCCGCUCGCGACCCGCCUAGCAGCCGCCGCCCCCUCCCCCCCUCCCCCACCGUCCGGCGCCGCCAUGGCCGUAGGCGACGACCCCUCUGCCUUCUCUGCUGCCGCCGCAACCGGUGGGCUGACCCACGUGGCCGCCGCCGCCGCCAUCUCGCCCGCAACAGUUGCCAUGCCGCCGCCCCCCGCCCGCCGGCCCAGAUUAGCGCCGCCCUGGCCGGUGGCCACCGCGCCGGCGGCGAAGCCAGCGAAGAGAUGAGGCAGCGGAAAACGGGCGGCCAACCCCAGCCACAAGCCAACCAACAGUUCUACACGGCCGGUGAAGGUCUCCAAGGCGGCUGCGGCGGCUCAGGGCGACGACCCGCAGCCGAUGCAGCCGGCGGCCUCCUCCAGCAGCCAUACAUCCAUUCCUCAACCUCCCCCGCCGCCACCGCCGGCCGUGGAGGAAGAUGUGGCCACGCUGAUAGCCACCGCCUCCAACAUGAUGAUGACAAUCUUGAUGUGGACGAUGAGGGCUUUGUUGUCAAGGGAAGAAGUGGAAAUUAUACCACCGCGGAGGAUGUGUUGAUAUGCACAGCUUGGAAGAAAAUCUCUGAAGAUGCAAGCGUCGGAAGCAACCAAACGGUGAAUACCUAUUGGCAAUGCAUCAAGGAGUGCUUCGAUGAGCGCAACACAAGUGUUCACUUCCGUUCGAGCGACUCUCUACGCCAACGUUGGUCCACCAUCAACGCCGAAUGCCAAAAGUGGUCCGGUUGCUUGUCAAACGUUGCUCGCAUGAACCCAAGUGGUUGCGGUGAAAUUGGCUUCAUCUGCAACAUGACCGGUAUGGGACGUAAUGAAGAUGCUUCCGGUGGUGCUCACGACAACGAGAGUUCACUGCUUGUUGAGAACAUCGACAAAGACGGUGGUGAAGAUGAUGAUCGUACCACGGUUCACAACACCAGUGGUGUUGAUGACCCGCAUGAGUAA
RNAcentral lists this ribosomal RNA (1641 nucleotides) under Triticum aestivum (bread wheat). RNAcentral describes it as "partial small subunit ribosomal RNA". Lineage: Eukaryota; Viridiplantae; Streptophyta; Magnoliopsida; Poales; Poaceae. The record is from RNAcentral.